UACAGAGGGUGCAAGCGUUGCUCGGAAUUACUGGGCGUAAAGCGUGUGUAGGCGGUCUUUUAAGUGGGGUGUGAAAGCCCUAGGCUCAACCUAGGAACUGCGCCCCAUACUGGAAGACUUGAGUGUCGGAGAGGAUAGUGGAAUUCCCAGUGUAGAGGUGAAAUUCGUAGAUAUUGGGAGGAACACCAGUGGCGAAGGCGGCUAUCUGGACGAACACUGACGCUGAGACACGAAAGCGUGGGGAGCAAACAGG
This 253-nucleotide ribosomal RNA is filed under the name uncultured bacterium. Its description in RNAcentral is "partial 16S ribosomal RNA". It matches the Rfam family "Bacterial small subunit ribosomal RNA", at positions 524 to 776 of the family's 1533-position model. The record is from RNAcentral.